UUUAAAUGGCCGCAGUAUAUUAACUGUGCAAAGGUAGCAUAAUCAUUAGUCUUUUAAUUGAAGGCUGGUAUGAAUGGUUGGACGAAAUAUUAACUGUUUCAUAUAAAUUUUUAUUAGAAAUUUAUUUUUUAGUUAAAAAGCUAAAAUAUAUUUAAAAGACGAGAAGACCCUAUAAAUCUUUAUAUUUAAAUUAUUGUAAUUUUAUAGAUUUUUUUUAUUACAAUUAUUAAUAAUAUUUUAUUGGGGUGAUAUUAAAAUUUAAUAAACUUUUAAUUGUUUAAGUCAUUAAUAUAUGAAUAAUUGAUCCGUUAUUAACGAUUAAAAAAAUAAGUUACUUUAGGGAUAACAGCGUAAUUUUUUUGGAGAGUUCAUAUUGAUAAAAAAUAUUGCGACCUCGAUGUUGGAUUAAGAUAUAUUUUUAGGUGUAGUUGCUUAAAUUUUAAGUCUGUUCGACUUUUAA
Molecule: ribosomal RNA, 460 nt
Filed under: Americina adusta
Lineage: Eukaryota; Metazoa; Arthropoda; Insecta; Diptera; Scathophagidae
Description: partial 16S ribosomal RNA
Rfam family: Bacterial large subunit ribosomal RNA
Source: RNAcentral